CUGGUGUCUCCCAAGCAACUCGGGUCAGAGGGACUGAGGCCUAUGGCAAGAUUCCAGCUCCACCCACCCCCAGACCUCUCCAGGGCCCUGGAUAACAAAAGGAAGCAUGGUGAGCAAGGGGAGAAGCUCUUCCUUCCCCUCCAACCCAAGCUCUGCAGGGCGCGUGGGCAGAGGCCAGAUCUGAUGACCUGGGCAGGGCAGCUCUUGCUUGGCGGGUCUUGCAAACUUGGACUAUCUGGGAUCUGAGUUCUGAUGGUGAACUGGGUUUCCUGGGCUGGGAGGGAUUCGCUUCCUUCCCCGUGGGACUCACCCUUCAACCUCAGCCUUCCCAGGCACUGUCUCUGGCCUUCCUGAGACUCCAGGGACCUUGGCAAAGAGAUCAUGAGCCACAUUAAGAAAGGAGUUUCAAGGUGCUUGGUUUUACAUAAUUAAGACUCCGGGUGGCCUUUGCAUCUCAAGUCAGUGGAAGCUGCCAUACUAUAGAAAAGAGACUAUCCCACUGAGUGACAGCAGGAUGCUGCCUGCGUGUGCGUGUCCCGUGUGUUGUUCUCUCUUUCCAUCACUCUCUCACUCAACCACACAAGCAAUAAAAUUCAGAAAAAAAUGUUCAGGUGUUUUAAAAGCAGAACCAUGUCGCUGUGAGUUUCAUGUUUCGCUCAACAAAGUCAUUCAGGUGGCAACAUCAUGAACAGGGACAACUGGGAUAAAAGCAGAUUCUUCCCAGGCAUUUAAAAGGAUGAGACAAAGGCAGUCCCUGCCCGUGUUACCUGUGUCUGUCAACAUGAUUCUGCAGUCUCUCAUGUAGACAUGCAAGAGUGGAAAGGAGUAGAGUUUGGAGCCAGAGAGAACUGGAGUUCAACUCUAGCCCUGCACCAUUGCUAGCAACACAACCCUGAGGAAGCUGCCUUCUGGGUGUUCUCACUUGCCUUGUGUCUAAAAUGGGAAUGGAUCCUGCAGGGAAGGCUUCAUGCCAAGAUCACAAGAGCAGCUUAGGCAAAGUGCUUGUGGCUGAGCCCGCUUGGCUGCUCAGCCAGUGGCAGGGUGUUCUCAAGAUGGCGGCCCUCCUCCUUCUCACCGUUUCCUCUGGGCAGGAGAAGAAAGUACAGUAUGGCUCCCUGUCUAAUUCUCCAUCUUCUGGGAUGACACACUUUGUGGCUCAGGCUUGUCUACAUGUCAAUGCUAGGUCUACAGCUGAGAAAUUUCCAAGCCCUUUCUCUUAUACGGCAUAUGGAGUCCAACACCGAGAGACUCUCCAUCAUUGAAUCUUCUUGGACCAAGAGAUGAAAAAAGUUUAUAAAGUUUAGUUUUAAAAAGCCACACAGCCGGCAGUGAGAUGAGCUACAACACGGAAUAGAAGAGCAGAUGCCAAAAUAAGAGGAAUAACUAUUGAG
Molecule: long non-coding RNA, 1391 nt
Filed under: Marmota monax (woodchuck)
Lineage: Eukaryota; Metazoa; Chordata; Mammalia; Rodentia; Sciuridae
Source: RNAcentral